CUAGCUUCCCAGUGGCCCAUAAAAUAACGGUAACAUUUAUUGGGCACAUGUUUUGUGCCAAGUGCUCUCAAGGAGAUCUUAAAGAGAGGCUAUUAGCAGCUCCAUGCCUGAGAACAGAGAGGGUGUGUGACUCUACCAAGCUCACAUGUACUAGGAGAUCCUGCGGCCCAAACUGGAGCCCCGGCCGCUGACCACCAGAGCCUUCGGACUUCACCACCAGACCCCCUGCUUCUCAAGAAAAGGUGGGUUUGUGAAGUGCAGUGAGGAGGAGACAGAAGAGCAUCUCAGGGACCUGGGGGACUCAUCCCCGGCGAAGCCGAGCCACAGGGCCAGUGUUCCUGGGGAAUUAGCCCAGCGCCAGAGUGGACUCCCUGAGACGGCACAGCCAGGAUUUGGGGAAAGCUGAGUACAGAGAGGGUAUUGCUGAGAGAAGGAGCCAAGUCUCGGCUUAGCCAGAGGAUACGAGUCAGGAGGGAGGAGCAAGGAAGGACCGGCAGCCUGAGGGUUCAGGGCCUGGGGCUGGCCCGUGAGUACCCUGGAGCAGUAGCCCCCGCAGAGCUACAUCGGGCUGAGGUCCCUGGGCCUGUCAUGGGUGCUCCGGUGUCCCUGGCUCUGUAGGCAAAGCCAGCAUUCUGACCAGCUGAGCGGGGCGUGCUGGAGAGCACGCCGGGGGUGGGGGCCCUUCGAGGGCUGUGAUCUGGAAGACCCGUCGUGGGAGGAAGAGCUGGCCAGCCUCCUUGCACAUUUUCACGGCUGCGUGGUCCUCUGAUGUGUGGACACCCGGACCCUUAUUUAGCCACUCCCAUCCCAGCGGACGUUUAGGUCGCCAGCUGCUGUGGGUCUGUCUGUGGGACAAAUUCCAAGAAGGAGAACUGCCAGGUCAGAGUACAAGCAUCCACAUUUCACAUAUGAGGAAAUCGAGGCACAGAGAGUUUGAUGAACUUUUGCAAGUUCACACAGCCAGUAAGAUGCUGAUGACAUUGACACAUUGCUAAGAGAAAAAAAGGUCUGAGAUGUCAUGGGCACUAACAAAUGCUCCUUGAAUGUCUUUGAGCAAAUGAAAGAACGGACGGGUGUGUGGAGUCUCCUUGCAGCUCUUGGCACUCUGACCAGCAUUUGCCAACACCCACUCACCUGUGCC
Molecule: long non-coding RNA, 1141 nt
Organism: Ailuropoda melanoleuca (giant panda)
Lineage: Eukaryota; Metazoa; Chordata; Mammalia; Carnivora; Ursidae
Exons: 3
Source: RefSeq, a predicted model, not a curated record